Long non-coding RNA from Austrofundulus limnaeus, 1266 nucleotides. RefSeq lists it as uncharacterized. The transcript is spliced from 2 exons. The record is from RefSeq and is a predicted model, not a curated record. NCBI's taxonomy places the organism in Eukaryota, Metazoa, Chordata, Actinopteri, Cyprinodontiformes, Rivulidae.
UUAUAACAGGUUAAACUUUAUAAAACUUUACUGUUUUCUAAUGUUUUAUAACAGGUUAAACUUUAUAAAACUUUACUGUUUCUAAUGUUUUAUAACAGGUUAAACUUUAUAAAACUUUACUGUUCUCUAAUGUUUUAUAACAGGACAAACUUUAGCGGUAUACUUUGAAGGAAAAGCGUAAUAAGUUUAGGUUUUAUGUACAAGGCUGCACUUUUCAACAAACUKAAAGAUAGAUGCAUUAAAUUAUACAAAAAAUAAAGUUUAUCUCAGAUUUAAACUUUAAUAAAUGUUACUUUCUGACUGCAGAGAAGAUUGUAAGUUUUAGUUUGAUUAUAACGAUAGUAAUGAAAAAAAUUACUUGUUUAUGAUAAAAUUUAUUGUCUCCGUGUUUAAAUAAUUUGUUUUUGGAUCUUUGAGGAAUAAAUUAACAAAACGUGUCGUUUAAAUUUUCUAAUAAAUCAACGGUGCAGAGUGGAGAAGUGGCGCCACCUACUGUUGCUCUUCUUCGUUUACCGAGCUAACGAGCUAGCAARCUAACAAGCUAUCAAGCUAACAAUCUAGCUAGCUAAGAAGGUAGCAAGAUAAGCUAACGAGUUAACAACCUAGUGAGCUAACAAACUAGCAAGCGAACAUGUUUUUUGCACUUAAUGUUUGGUUUGUGUUCAGAYUUAGACGCACAUCAGGAACUAUUUUUCUCCAUGGAGGAACACGACCCAGGUGUGUCUCCGCUGAGACCUGAUCUGGUUUCUGAUUGGCUGGCAGGUCUCAGAUUAGAAGCCAUGUUUUUCAGAUAGAUUCAGAUAAUUUAAUAUAAUAUUAUAAAGAUAUAAAAUAUUAUAAAGUCGUAACAAGAAGCUUAAUGUAUUUAAUAAAGGUUGGUUUAUGGCUGUGUYGUUGUAAUAAAGACCUUCAGGCGUUAAUCCAGAUUAAAAAUUGGUAAAACUGGAGGAUUUAAACUUUUGAACCAGCCCUUUAAUUAGUGAUAAUUUAUAAACGAAGUGAUUUCCACCAUCAGCUGAUGGAACAAGAGCUUAAUGUGUCUAAMUGCUAUAAAACACCACAGCUACACUAAUCUAUGAUAAUCUACAGGAUUAUAAUCUGACACAUUUACAUUCUGGAUCUGAGGGCAGGUCCUGUAGAAAACCUCAGCUCUGUACAACUUUGGGAUGUGAUUGUAGCUCGGCAGGAGUUCAGCCUCUUUCACCAAACACUGGGAWGGGGAGGGGGCGGGGCUUCAGGUUAACCCGCUGCUGUCACGUGUCUGAG